AGAGUUUGAUCAUGGCUCAGGAUGAACGCUAGCGGCAGGCUUAACACAUGCAAGUCGAGGGGCAGCGCGGGAUAGCAAUAUCCUGGCGGCGACCGGCGGAAGGGUGCGUAACGCGUGAGCGACAUGCCCGUUGCCCGGGGACAACCGGUGGAAACGCCGACUAAUCCCCGAUGGGAUACGAUGCUUCAUGGCAUUGUAUUGAAAGUUACGGCGGCGACGGAUUGGCUCGCGUCCGAUUAGCUUGUUGGCGGGGUAACGGCCCACCAAGGCUACGAUCGGUAGGGGUUCUGAGAGGAAGGCCCCCCACAAUGGGACUGAGACACGGCCCAUACUCCUACGGGAGGCAGCAGUGAGGAAUAUUGGUCAAUGGGCGGAAGCCUGAACCAGCCGUGCCGCGUGCGGGAAGGAGGCCCUAUGGGCUGUGAACCGCUUUUGCCUGGGGGCAAUAAGGGCGUCGCGCACGUCCGAUGAGAGUACCAGGCGAAUAAGCAUCGGCUAACUCCGUGCCAGCAGCCGCGGUAAUACGGGGGAUGCGAGCGUUAUCCGGAUUCAUUGUGUUUAAAGGGUGCGUAGGCUGUGCGUCAAGUCGGGGGUGAAAUUCCGGUGCUCAACACCGGGGCUGCCCUUGAUACUGUCGCGCUGGAGUGCGGAUGCCGCCGGAGGAAUGAGUGGUGUAGCGGUGAAAUGCUUAGAUAUCACUCAGAACACCGAUUGCGAAGGCAUCUGGCGAAUCCGUAACUGACGCUGAGGCACGAAAGCGUGGGGAUAGAACAGGAUUAGAUACCCUGGUAUUCCACGCCGUAAACGAUGAUGGCUAACCGCCGGCGACACACUGUCGGUGGCCAAGCGAAAGCGAUAAGCCAUCCACCUGGGGAGUACGUCGGCAACGAUGAAACUCAAAGGAAUUGACGGGGACCCGCACAAGCGGUGGAGCAUGUGGUUUAAUUCGAAGCAACGCGAAGAACCUUACCAAGUCUUGACAUCCGCCUGACCGACCCUUAACCGGAUCUUUCCUUCGGGACAGGCGAGACAGGUGGUGCAUGGUUGUCGUCAGCUCGUGUCGUGAGAUGUUGGGUUAAGUCCCGCAACGAGCGCAACCCCUAUCCUCAGUAGCCAGCAUUUAAGGUGGGCACUCUGGGGAGACUGCCAGGGAUAACCUGGAGGAAGGCGGGGAUGACGUCAAAUCAUCAUGCCCCUUAUGAUUUGGGCUACACACGCGCUACAAUGGCGUAAACAAAGGGAAGCGAGAUUGUGAGGUGGAGCAAAUCCCAAAAAUAACGUCCCAGUUCGGACUGUAGUCUGCAACCCGACUACACGAAGCUGGAAUCGCUAGUAAUCGCGGAUCAGAAUGCCGCGGUGAAUACGUUCCCGGGUCUUGUACACACCGCCCGUCACACCAUGGGAGUCAGUAACGCCCGAAGUCAGUGACCUAACUGCAAAGAAGGAGCUGCCGAAGGCGGGACCGAUGACUGGGGUGAAGUCGUAACAAGGUA
Molecule: ribosomal RNA, 1493 nt
Filed under: metagenome
Description: bacterial SSU rRNA
Rfam family: Bacterial small subunit ribosomal RNA
Source: RNAcentral